RNAcentral lists this ribosomal RNA (504 nucleotides) under uncultured bacterium. RNAcentral describes it as "partial 16S ribosomal RNA". It matches the Rfam family "Bacterial small subunit ribosomal RNA", at positions 28 to 523 of the family's 1533-position model. The record is from RNAcentral.
GAUAAACGCUAGCGGCUGGCUUAACACAUGCAAGUCGAGGGGCAGCAUAGAUUGUAGCAAUACAAUUGGUGGCGACCGGCGCACGGGUGCGUAACGCGUAUGCAACCUACCCGUCACAGGGGGAUAAUCCGGAGAAAUCUGGUCUAAUACCCCAUAACAUAUGGAUCGGCAUCGGUUCAUGUUGAAAUUUUCGGAGGUGACGGAUGGGCAUGCGUAGCAUUAGCUUGUUGGUGAGGUAACGGCUCACCAAGGCGACGAUGCUUAGGGGGACUGAGAGGUUUUCCCCCCACACUGGAACUGAGACACGGACCAGACUCCUACGGGAGGCAGCAGUGAGGAAUAUUGGUCAAUGGGCGCAAGCCUGAGCCAGCCAUGCCGCGUGCAGGAUGACGGCUCUAUGAGUUGUAAACUGCUUUUGUACGAGGGUAAAGUGGGUUACGUGUAACCUUUUGAAAGUAUCGUACGAAUAAGGAUCGGCUAACUCCGUGCCAGCCGCCGCCGUAA